This 335-nucleotide ribosomal RNA is filed under the name uncultured bacterium. RNAcentral describes it as "partial 16S ribosomal RNA". It matches the Rfam family "Bacterial small subunit ribosomal RNA", at positions 338 to 666 of the family's 1533-position model. The record is from RNAcentral.
CCUACGGGUGGCAGCAGUAGGGAAUUUUCGUCAAUGGGCGCAAGCCUGAACGAGCAAUGCCGCGUGAACGUGGAAGGUCUUCGGAUCGUAAAGUUCUGUUGUAGGGGAAAAAGAGUGGAGAGAGGAAAUGGUCUCCGAUUGAUAUUACCCUUCGAGGAAGUCACGGCUAACUACGUGCCAGCAGCCGCGGUAAUACGGAGGUGGUGAGCGUUAUUUGGAAUGAUUGUGCGUAAGGUGUGCGUAGGCGGACUGCAGCGUCUGGAGUGACAGGGACCGGCACAGGCGGUACGGGCUAUGGAAACUGGCGGGCUGGAAUGCGGGAGAGGGCGGUGGAA